Potamilus streckersoni is the source of this 73-nucleotide non-coding RNA. Lineage: Eukaryota; Metazoa; Mollusca; Bivalvia; Unionida; Unionidae. The record is from the annotation of a GenBank genome assembly.
GCUCCGGUGACCUAGUGAUUAGAGCGUCCGCCUCGGAUGCGGGAGGUCGUGGGUUCGAUUCCCGAUCGAGUCA